Ribosomal RNA from Cercocebus atys (sooty mangabey), 99 nucleotides. The record is from Ensembl. NCBI's taxonomy places the organism in Eukaryota, Metazoa, Chordata, Mammalia, Primates, Cercopithecidae.
GUCUGCAACCAUAUUAUAUUGAUUCUGGAAGCUUAUCAGGGUCAGGCCUGGCCAGUACUUGGAGGGUAGACCACCUGUGAAUACUGGGUGCUGUACACU